CCUACGGGGGGCAGCAGUGGGGAAUAUUGGACAAUGGGGGCAACCCUGAUCCAGCCAUGCCGCGUGUGUGAAGAAGGCCCUCGGGUUGUAAAGCACUUUCAGUGAGGAAGAACGCCUGGUGGUUAAUACCCAUCAGGAAAGACAUCACUCACAGAAGAAGCACCGGCUAACUCCGUGCCAGCAGCCGCGGUAAUACGGAGGGUGCGAGCGUUAAUCGGAAUUACUGGGCGUAAAGCGCGCGUAGGUGGCUUGAUAAGCCGGUUGUGAAAGCCCCGGGCUCAACCUGGGAACGGCAUCCGGAACUGUCAAGCUAGAGUGCAGGAGAGGAAGGUAGAAUUCCCGGUGUAGCGGUGAAAUGCGUAGAGAUCGGGAGGAAUACCAGUGGCGAAGGCGGCCUUCUGGACUGACACUGACACUGAGGUGCGAAAGCGUGGGUAGCAAACAGGAUUAGAUACCCUAGUAGUC
This 465-nucleotide ribosomal RNA is filed under the name Vreelandella stevensii. Its description in RNAcentral is "partial 16S ribosomal RNA". It matches the Rfam family "Bacterial small subunit ribosomal RNA", at positions 338 to 795 of the family's 1533-position model. The record is from RNAcentral. Lineage: Bacteria; Pseudomonadati; Pseudomonadota; Gammaproteobacteria; Oceanospirillales; Halomonadaceae.